RNAcentral lists this ribosomal RNA (325 nucleotides) under uncultured bacterium. Its description in RNAcentral is "bacterial SSU rRNA". It matches the Rfam family "Bacterial small subunit ribosomal RNA", at positions 28 to 334 of the family's 1533-position model. The record is from RNAcentral.
GAUGAACGCUGGCGGCGUGCUUAACACAUGCAAGUCGAACGGAACACCCUAGAAGGAGUUUUCGGACAACUGAUAGGACUGUUUAGUGGCGGACGGGUGAGUAACGCGUGAGUAACCUGCCUUGGAGUGGGGAAUAACAGCUGGAAACAGCUGCUAAUACCGCAUAAUAUAUCUGGGUCGCAUGGCUCUGGAUAUCAAAGAUUUAUCGCUCUGAGAUGGACUCGCGUCUGAUUAGCUGGUUGGCGGGGUAACGGCCCACCAAGGCGACGAUCAGUAGCCGGACUGAGAGGUUGGCCGGCCACAUUGGGACUGAGACACGGCCCAG